AUUGAACGCUGGCGGCAGGCCAAACACAUGCAAGUCGAGCGGCGGCGGACAGGUGAGUAACGCGUAAAGAACUUGCCUCAAAGCUAGGGACAACAUUUGGAAAAGAAUGAUCAUACCUAAUACUGUGAGAGAGCUGUGCGUCCCAUUAGCUAGUUGGAGAGGUACCGGCUCACCAAGGCGAGGAUGGGUAGCCGGCCUGAGAGGGUGAUCGGCCACAAGGGGACUGAGACACUGCCCUUACUCCUACGGGAGGCAGCAGUGGGGAAUAUUGGACAAUGGACCAAAGUCUGAUCCAGCAAUUCUGUGUGCACGAUGAAGUUUUCGGAAUGUAAAGUGCUUUCAGUUUGGAAGCGGUACCAACAGAAGAAGUGACGGCUAAAUACGUGCCAGCAGCCGCGGUAAUUC
Molecule: ribosomal RNA, 405 nt
Filed under: uncultured bacterium
Lineage: Bacteria
Description: partial 16S ribosomal RNA
Rfam family: Bacterial small subunit ribosomal RNA
Source: RNAcentral